AGAUUAAGUUAUUAAGGGCGCACGGUGGAUGCCUUGGCACUAGAAGCCGAUGAAGGACGUUACUAACGACGAUAUGCUUUGGGGAGCUGUAAGUAAGCUUUGAUCCAGAGAUUUCCGAAUGGGGAAACCCAGCAUGAGUUAUGUCAUGUUAUCGAUAUGUGAAUAUAUAGCAUAUCAGAAGGCACACCCGGAGAACUGAAACAUCUUAGUACCCGGAGGAAGAGAAAGAAAAUUCGAUUCCCUUAGUAGCGGCGAGCGAAACGGGAAGAGCCCAAACCAACAAGCUUGCUUGUUGGGGUUGUAGGACACUCUAUACGGAGUUACAAAGGACGACAUUAGACGAAUCAUCUGGAAAGAUGAAUCAAAGAAGGUAAUAAUCCUGUAGUCGAAAAUGUUGUCUCUCUUGAGUGGAUCCUGAGUACGACGGAGCACGUGAAAUUCCGUCGGAAUCUGGGAGGACCAUCUCCUAAGGCUAAAUACUCUCUAGUGACCGAUAGUGAACCAGUACCGUGAGGGAAAGGUGAAAAGCACCCCGGAAGGGGAGUGAAAUAGAACCUGAAACCGUGUGCUUACAAGUAGUCAGAGCCCGUUAAUGGGUGAUGGCGUGCCUUUUGUAGAAUGAACCGGCGAGUUACGAUUUGAUGCAAGGUUAAGCAGUAAAUGUGGAGCCGUAGCGAAAGCGAGUCUGAAUAGGGCGUUUAGUAUUUGGUCGUAGACCCGAAACCAGGUGAUCUACCCUUGGUCAGGUUGAAGUUCAGGUAACACUGAAUGGAGGACCGAACCGACUUACGUUGAAAAGUGAGCGGAUGAACUGAGGGUAGCGGAGAAAUUCCAAUCGAACCUGGAGAUAGCUGGUUCUCUCCGAAAUAGCUUUAGGGCUAGCCUCAAGUGAUGAUUAUUGGAGGUAGAGCACUGUUUGGACGAGGGGCCCCUCUCGGGUUACCGAAUUCAGACAAACUCCGAAUGCCAAUUAAUUUAACUUGGGAGUCAGAACAUGGGUGAUAAGGUCCGUGUUCGAAAGGGAAACAGCCCAGACCACCAGCUAAGGUCCCAAAAUAUAUGUUAAGUGGAAAAGGAUGUGGCGUUGCCCAGACAACUAGGAUGUUGGCUUAGAAGCAGCCAUCAUUUAAAGAGUGCGUAAUAGCUCACUAGUCGAGUGACACUGCGCCGAAAAUGUACCGGGGCUAAACAUAUUACCGAAGCUGUGGAUUGUCCUUUGGACAAUGGUAGGAGAGCGUUCUAAGGGCGUUGAAGCAUGAUCGUAAGGACAUGUGGAGCGCUUAGAAGUGAGAAUGCCGGUGUGAGUAGCGAAAGACGGGUGAGAAUCCCGUCCACCGAUUGACUAAGGUUUCCAGAGGAAGGCUCGUCCGCUCUGGGUUAGUCGGGUCCUAAGCUGAGGCCGACAGGCGUAGGCGAUGGAUAACAGGUUGAUAUUCCUGUACCACCUAUAAUCGUUUUAAUCGAUGGGGGGACGCAGUAGGAUAGGCGAAGCGUGCGAUUGGAUUGCACGUCUAAGCAGUAAGGCUGAGUAUUAGGCAAAUCCGGUACUCGUUAAGGCUGAGCUGUGAUGGGGAGAAGACAUUGUGUCUUCGAGUCGUUGAUUUCACACUGCCGAGAAAAGCCUCUAGAUAGAAAAUAGGUGCCCGUACCGCAAACCGACACAGGUAGUCAAGAUGAGAAUUCUAAGGUGAGCGAGCGAACUCUCGUUAAGGAACUCGGCAAAAUGACCCCGUAACUUCGGGAGAAGGGGUGCUCUUUAGGGUUAACGCCCAGAAGAGCCGCAGUGAAUAGGCCCAAGCGACUGUUUAUCAAAAACACAGGUCUCUGCUAAACCGUAAGGUGAUGUAUAGGGGCUGACGCCUGCCCGGUGCUGGAAGGUUAAGAGGAGUGGUUAGCUUCUGCGAAGCUACGAAUCGAAGCCCCAGUAAACGGCGGCCGUAACUAUAACGGUCCUAAGGUAGCGAAAUUCCUUGUCGGGUAAGUUCCGACCCGCACGAAAGGCGUAACGAUUUGGGCACUGUCUCAACGAGAGACUCGGUGAAAUCAUAGUACCUGUGAAGAUGCAGGUUACCCGCGACAGGACGGAAAGACCCCGUGGAGCUUUACUGUAGCCUGAUAUUGAAAUUCGGCACAGCUUGUACAGGAUAGGUAGGAGCCUUUGAAACGUGAGCGCUAGCUUACGUGGAGGCGCUGGUGGGAUACUACCCUAGCUGUGUUGGCUUUCUAACCCGCACCACUUAUCGUGGUGGGAGACAGUGUCAGGCGGGCAGUUUGACUGGGGCGGUCGCCUCCUAAAAGGUAACGGAGGCGCUCAAAGGUUCCCUCAGAAUGGUUGGAAAUCAUUCAUAGAGUGUAAAGGCAUAAGGGAGCUUGACUGCGAGACCUACAAGUCGAGCAGGGUCGAAAGACGGACUUAGUGAUCCGGUGGUUCCGCAUGGAAGGGCCAUCGCUCAACGGAUAAAAGCUACCCCGGGGAUAACAGGCUUAUCUCCCCCAAGAGUUCACAUCGACGGGGAGGUUUGGCACCUCGAUGUCGGCUCAUCGCAUCCUGGGGCUGUAGUCGGUCCCAAGGGUUGGGCUGUUCGCCCAUUAAAGCGGUACGCGAGCUGGGUUCAGAACGUCGUGAGACAGUUCGGUCCCUAUCCGUCGUGGGCGUAGGAAAUUUGAGAGGAGCUGUCCUUAGUACGAGAGGACCGGGAUGGACAUACCUCUGGUGUACCAGUUGUCGUGCCAACGGCAUAGCUGGGUAGCUAUGUGUGGACGGGAUAAGUGCUGAAAGCAUCUAAGCAUGAAGCCCCCCUCAAGAUGAGAUUUCCCAACUUCGGUUAUAAGAUCCCUCAAAGAUGAUGAGGUUAAUAGGUUCGAGGUGGAAGCAUGGUGACAUGUGGAGCUGACGAAUACUAAUCGAUCGAAGACUUAAUCAAAUU
Molecule: ribosomal RNA, 2927 nt
Filed under: Staphylococcus aureus
Lineage: Bacteria; Bacillati; Bacillota; Bacilli; Caryophanales; Staphylococcaceae
Description: bacterial LSU rRNA
Rfam family: Bacterial large subunit ribosomal RNA
Source: RNAcentral